Molecule: ribosomal RNA, 494 nt
Filed under: uncultured bacterium
Lineage: Bacteria
Description: partial 16S ribosomal RNA
Rfam family: Bacterial small subunit ribosomal RNA
Source: RNAcentral
GACGAACGCUGGCGGCGUGCUUUAGGCAUGCAAGUCGAACGCGAAAGCCCCUUCGGGGGUGAGUAGAGUGGCGAACGGGUGAGUAACACGUGGGUAACCUGCCCCUCGCAGGGGGAUAACCGGGGGAAACCCCGGCUAAUACCCCGUACGCUUGCUGGGGCGCAUGCUCCGGCAAGGAAAGGUAGCUUCGGCCAUCCGGCGAGGGAGGGGCCCGCGGCCCAUUAGCUAGUUGGUGGGGUAACGGCCCACCAAGGCGACGAUGGGUAGCUGGCCUGAGAGGGUGGUCAGCCACCCGGGGGCUGAGACACGGCCCAGACUCCGACGGGAGGCAGCAGCCAGGAAUCUUGCGCAAUGGGCGAAAGCCUGACGCAGCAACGCCGCGUGGGCGAUGAAGGCCUGCGGGUCGUAAAGCCCUGUUGUCGGGGACGAAGGGCGAAGGGUUAAUAGCCCCUAGCCUGACGGUACCCGACGAGGAAGCCCCGGCUAACUACGUG